Molecule: long non-coding RNA, 1511 nt
Organism: Gallus gallus (chicken)
Lineage: Eukaryota; Metazoa; Chordata; Aves; Galliformes; Phasianidae
Source: Ensembl
AUCUCUUUCUGGAGAUCUGUCCUUGGUGAAGCUUUCCCCUGUGAACCUGGAGUCUUCUGGUACAGCCAUAAGUGAGAUGACUGACUUAAGAGGAUCACUGGCUAAAAAACCAUCAGAAAUCAAACUUCAGCAGGCAUGAAGAGUACAGUCAGUAUGAAGCAAGAAGCUGCAACCACAGAUUGGCAUGUCUUCAGGAAGUGGUUUUCUGCACCAGAGUAGAACAAAGUGUUCAUGUGAUGGUCCAAGGAGAGAGCUCCCCGAAGGCUUGAGAGUGAGCAGUCACAAAGCCUGCAAUAGAUGCUGUGUCUCAGGAAGUGGUGGGAUAGGGUGCAGCUAUAUGAUGGUACAGAAUACCAACCCCAAGAAUGAUGGAAGAUCCUCAGACUAGAAGAGCCACCCUCUACCCUGCUUUAACCCAGUGUGAAUUUUAGGCAGUCUGCUGACCAUCACUUAUCUGAAGUGGAAGAUUCACUGAAGUAGGCAGUUCUGGUGAUCUUUUAAAUUUAUACUGGUUUAGCUAGUCAUAAAAUAUUGCACAGGAUGGUAAUUACAGUAGGCUUGUUCUGUUACAGAUUGUGAUACUGAAGUAGUGUGGUUGCAAAACACAGACACUGUACCCUGCAAUCACCACAUCCCAUGCAGUACCUGCAUUAUGCCUAGCACGUUCAGUAAACCAAGAAGUGUGUUUAUCUGGUGAUAAUCAAAUCAAAAGUGUGUUAUAUUUGAGUAUCUUAUUGCAGCUACUAAAUAGCCUUCCCAAGGUUUAUUAAAAAAAAAAAAAUCUAUCUUCAAAAACACUUUGUAUCACAUCACCAUGGAAAAAGAGUUCAUCAGGAUUUUUAAAAGGACUGUUUGCAAUGCACCACUUUAGUUAAGCAUUGUAAUUUUGUAAAUGAACUCAAAAAAUUAUGAAUAAAACAUGAAAUGAUUAAGCAAGAUGAAUGGAGUGUUGAGAGAAGAUCCAAAAAUCUGUUUUGGCUAAUGCUUACAGCAUUAAUUCUCUGGAACUGCAUUCUUCACAUGCUACUAAAUGAAAAUGGUUCAUCCAUUCAAACACAGACACCGAUGUGGGAAAGUUUCUUCUAUGUUUUCAACUCUAUGUUUUCAACUUUUUCCAACUUUGAUUUGGAAGGGAGUGGCCAUAAAGGAUGAUGCGUAAUUCCAGCAUCUAAAUAAACUUAACUCUUCCCUCUGAAGUCACAGCAGGUGUAUAGAAUGUCGAUGCCAAGCUAGAAUGAAUCCGUUCUAGAGAUGUGGGAGUUUUAAUGUUUUCUUCUUCUCAUGAUAGAUUUAAGUAUCAGUAUCUUUGCAAUAUUUAAUACUUUUAAAAUAUCACUUAAAAGAAAUGUUAGUCUGACUUGGAUCAUUUACACUAUCCUGUAAGGAAAAGAAUUUCAGCUGUCUAGAACGCUUCCUUGUGGACUUCAUGAUACUGUUCUUUGAGAUUUUGCUUAAUUUUGUGUAUUCUAAUGGAUAUGUUGAAAUAACAAGACUGUGGGCUAGUUCUAAGU